This is a long non-coding RNA of Stylophora pistillata, 644 nucleotides long. NCBI's taxonomy places the organism in Eukaryota, Metazoa, Cnidaria, Anthozoa, Scleractinia, Pocilloporidae. The record is from RefSeq and is a predicted model, not a curated record.
GUGAAUUCGGACAAAGCAAGUAUGUGGACUGUGAAAUUGCCAAAAUGACUUCCCUGAUGUUUUUUGUAAAGCUUUGGUAACAUACACCUCUUGCAAUUCUGAUACGACAGUUUACUGGAGGCUGAUCAAAUAUUAGCGUUCUUUAGGAAAGCAGCUGGGGACCUUUCUCGUUCUUUUUCCAUUCACUUUUGGAGGCCGAUGCAGUGGACGUGCGUGCGCAUCAACCACUACCACCAGCAACACGUGCUUUAAGAACGUAUUACUUCUAUCUGCUUUCUCUGGACAGGACACAGAAGAAACGGUGCAACUUGAACUCGAGACACUGUACUCAAAGCCAUCUUUCUUUUUGAUGAGGUAAACUGUAAGCUUUCUUACUAGCUAUCCAUCUGUUCAAAGAAUCAUCUGAAGGGUUCCAUUUGAACUAAAUUUAACUCAAUUCCGGCUACAGUGAGGGGCAGCAGGUCUGCGUGGAUUGCUCCGUACACAAUCAAACAAAAGAUAUCCUCACGAUGAAAACGUUUCACGUUGUGUCCUAUUUGUGGCUAUGCUCGAUUCGAUUUGGUUGACCAAAAAAGUACUAUGACUAAUGAUAACGUAAACACAAAUUGAGACGGUAUUUUUCCCGAUUUGACACAUCGCUGAAG